Molecule: ribosomal RNA, 501 nt
Filed under: uncultured bacterium
Lineage: Bacteria
Description: partial 16S ribosomal RNA
Rfam family: Bacterial small subunit ribosomal RNA
Source: RNAcentral
AUUGAACGCUGGCGGCAGGCUUAACACAUGCAAGUCGAGCGGGGGAAGGUAGCUUGCUACCGGACCUAGCGGCGGACGGGUGAGUAAUGCUUAGGAAUCUGCCUAUUAGUGGGGGACAACAUCUCGAAAGGGAUGCUAAUACCGUAUACGUCCUACGGGAGAAAGCAGGGGAUCUUCGGACUUUGCGCUAAUAGAUGAGCCUAAGUCGGAUUAGCUAGUUGGUGGGGUAAAGGCCUACCAAGGCGACGAUCUGUAGCGGGUCUGAGAGGAUGAUCCGCCACACUGGGACUGAGACACGGCCCAGACUCCUACGGGAGGCAGCAGUGGGGAAUAUUGGACAAUGGGGGGAACCCUGAUCCAGCCAUGCCGCGUGUGUGAAGAAGGCCUUAUGGUUGUAAAGCACUUUAAGCGAGGAGGAGGCUACUUUAGUUAAUACCUAGAGAUAGUGGACGUUACUCGCAGAAUAAGCACCGGCUAACUCUGUGCCAGCAGCCGCCGUAA